CUUAAUAAAUAUUUGUUGCCUUAAUGAAACAUACUAUUUUAUUCAGGCUGAGGAAUCAUUCAUAAUUUCUCCCCAUGUCCCUAUGCUUCAGUAAUACGGUUUUUUUUUUAAUCAAAAUAAUUUUUUAAAGAGGAAAAGGAGAAAGAAUAUCCUAUCUUCAGUUCCCCUCACUGUGGGACUUUGGAUCAGUCACUUGAUCUCUCUGGGCUUCAAUGUUCUUAUCUGAAAAAUUGAGAGAACAGCAUGUACCUUACACAGUUUGUAAGGUUAGGUAAUAUACAUAAAGCACAGAGAAAAUCCUCCCCAAAUGUUAGUGAAUAACAGAAGUAUUUACUAUUUACCAUUUUAAAGUACUUACCAUAUAAUAUUAAACACUUAAUAAAUGUAUGGGACUCAAAACCA
This 402-nucleotide long non-coding RNA is filed under the name Pan troglodytes (chimpanzee). RNAcentral's name for it is "lincRNA". The record is from RNAcentral. Lineage: Eukaryota; Metazoa; Chordata; Mammalia; Primates; Hominidae.